RNAcentral lists this long non-coding RNA (232 nucleotides) under Elaeis guineensis (African oil palm). Its description in RNAcentral is "long non-coding RNA (EGUI_LNC074241)". Lineage: Eukaryota; Viridiplantae; Streptophyta; Magnoliopsida; Arecales; Arecaceae. The record is from RNAcentral.
CAGCUCAUUAAAUGCAUGUGGGAUUGAGCACAUGGUGUGUUGGCCUAACCCAUUUUACAUCCUUCCAACUAGCUGGUGAAGGUCAAGCAAAAAUGACAGUGUAACAUAUAUGAUUGCUUGUACUUAACCCUGCUGGUUGGUAUGUUCCUCUCCAAAUGAGAGGUCUCAAGUUCAAACUUGACUGGUGAUAGGUAACCACCAUGUUCCUGACACUUGUUAUGAUUUCCACUGC